This 433-nucleotide ribosomal RNA is filed under the name uncultured bacterium. RNAcentral describes it as "partial 16S ribosomal RNA". It matches the Rfam family "Bacterial small subunit ribosomal RNA", at positions 29 to 507 of the family's 1533-position model. The record is from RNAcentral.
AACGAACGCUGGCGGCAUGCCUAACACAUGCAAGUCGAACGAGACCUUCGGGUCUAGUGGCGCACGGGUGCGUAACGCGUGGGAACCUGCCCUUAGGUUCGGAAUAACUCCCCGACAGGGGUGCUAAUACCGGAUAAUGUCUUCGGACCAAAGAUUUAUCGCCUUUGGAUGGGCCCGCGUUGGAUUAGCUAGUUGGUAGGGUAAAAGCCUACCAAGGCGACGAUCCAUAGCAGGUCUGAGAGGAUGAUCAGCCACACUGGGACUGAGACACGGCCGAGACUCCUACGGGAGGCAGCAGUGGGGAAUAUUGGACAAUGGGCGAAAGCCUGAUCCAGCAAUGCCGCGUGAGUGAUGAAGGCCUGAGGGUUGUAAAGCUCUUUUACCCGGGAUGAUAAUGACAGUACCGGGAGAAUAAGCUCCGGCUAACUCCGUG